AGGGUCGACAGUGCGGGCUGGCGUGAACCGCAGCUCCUCUGCGCCCCAGCCUUUGCCCCUCUGGCCGCUGAUGUACUUGUGUGCACAACAGCUCCAGCUCCCGCAUGUAAAUCGAGGGAAGCUCCUGGAGCUUUUGUGAAGAUCUGAAUUAACUUCUCAUUAACCCUACAAAUCGUAACUGAGCCCUCAGUGUAUAUAAAAGGACCUUCCGCUGUGCCUGGCACAAAAUCAGGGCAUAAGAAAUGGUAAGUUACAGUUAUCCGUGCAAGGCCUAUGGGUUGCUAGCUCUUUAAUCAUCGCCAUCCUGCAGCAGAGCAGGCCAUUCCCCUGGAUGAGGAGGUUCCCGGCCCGGCCGCAGCGCUGAACUCCAGCCCUGCAAGCCACCUCCCGGUGCUCAUUGCUUCACUCCUGGGGUACGGCCUGCAGGAGACCCUGGAGAACCAGGGGCAGCGGCCAUGUUUGUGCCUCCCACAGCACCUGCGCUGGAGAAAAUGUCCUGACCAGCGUGUUGACAUUUUUAGAUGGAGACAAGCUAACAGGGUCAGGAGCGCCCAGCUGUGAAGCUCUGAGGCUGCAAGUGCCUAGAGGUUUGUUGGAAUCCAAAGUCCAAUGAUUAUCCUUUGAGCUUCACCUCUUUCCUUAUCCACCCACCUUCACUCUCUGAACCUGUCUUCGCCUCCGUGUGGGGAUCAACCCAGCCCUUACUCCCAGUGACUGUGGAAAGGUCACAAAAUAGAGCAUGAAAGUGCUUUGUGAACUGGAAGUGCGUGACGGGUCAUUAUUCUACUGAGUUGGGAGUUUGACUUGUGUACUGUGUGCCAUCCCCCCACUUCUGCCAACCCCACCCCCAUAUCCAGAUCAACAAAGACCUAGAACUACUCCUAGGACCAAACACCCAGACCCAAGUAAUAGCGUGGAAGGUGGGUCUGGAACAGGUGCCCAGAGCUGCUCAGCAUGCGUGGCAGGGCCGGCUGUCAGGGAAGGCAUUUUGAAGGAAGCAAGAUUCAGGUCAGGUUUUGAAGCCAGGGGGUAACAGUGUCUUCUCCCUCCAGAAGACCUUCAGCAGAGCCCUCCGGCCAGCUGCAGGGGCUGCAGGGCCUCCAAGGGUCCCAGCCCCAGAUACAUGGCUGAGAAACCCAACAAGGGAACAGAGGGCUGGGUCCAGAAAGGCUUAGGCCAAGAGGGUGUGGUCAGAGCGCCUGGCUAUUCAGGGCUUCACCAAAGCCCAGGCCCGAGGUCAGGAAGAGACCCCCACAAAGCCCUUGAGGAUGGAGGUGGCAGUGGGGAACAGACAGCUAAAUCAGGAGUGGGCGGGGAUAGGGACCAGAGGAGCCGGGAAAAGGAAGACCCCUGACAGGGUCAGGCCCAUCUGCAGGUCACUUCCCAGUUCUGUGGGAUGUGGGAGGUGAGGCAGGGGCAGUAGCUAGGUAGGUCCCACCUCAACCAUAUUUCCUGCUUUCAUAGCCUGAAGCCUCCUACCUUCCCAGUGAGGUGGAUGCCUAGUUCUCCCUAUUUUAGAGAUGAAGACUCCGGCACCCAGAGGUUAGGAACUUGUCUGAAGUCACACAAUUGGCCACGUAAGUGCUCAGGAAAUGUCAGCUGUUACUCUCCUUUACCAGCUCUGAGAACCCAAACAGCCACCACACUUAGAUGCAGGGCCCGAGAGAAGGGAGGGGCGUGAUCUGCAGAUGGACAGUCUGGGCACUGCCUCCUGAUCAGGAAUCACAAGCAGAAGGACACUUGGUGUGUCACUGAAGAGCUUCACUUGCAUUCAUUCAUCAUGUCCUCACACCCUCGCAGGGAAGUUACUCACUGUCCCCAUUUGGCAGUGAGAAAACUAAGGCACAGAGAGAGUAAUUUGCCCGAGGUCACUCAGCCAGUAGGUAGCAGAGCAGAAAUCUAAACCUGAGUCUGCCUCCAGGGCCUGUACCCCUCAUUCUCAUGCCUCAGGCGCCCCCUUGGGGGCCCAGGUUGGAGAAUGCACCCUGGCUUUCUGCUUAUGUCAGCUUCAGCUGGAGGCUAGCCUCUGGGGUG
This is a long non-coding RNA of Myotis brandtii (Brandt's bat), 2034 nucleotides long. RefSeq lists it as uncharacterized. Lineage: Eukaryota; Metazoa; Chordata; Mammalia; Chiroptera; Vespertilionidae. The transcript is spliced from 2 exons. The record is from RefSeq and is a predicted model, not a curated record.